GAUGAAGAACGUAGCGAAAUGCGAUAAGUAAUGUGAAUUGCAGAAUUCAGUGAAUCAUCGAAUCUUUGAACGCACAUUGCGCCCCCUGGAAUUCCGGGGGGCAUGCCUGUUCGAGCGUCUCAGGGACGAACCCUCGCGCGGGUGUACGCGCGGUCGUGGCUGCGGUGGCGUGCCCGAGGCGGCGGCCACCGCGCUGGAAUCCAUGGGCGGACGCCUGCCGCGUGGCCGAGCGUGAUAUGACGCAUUGGCGCUCGCACGCGGCGAGGCUGCCAGCCCUGGCCCGUCUGUCGGGCGGGGGAGAGCAAGACACGUGAACGCCUCGAAUCAGGUAGGGAUACCCGCUGAACUUAAGCAUAUCAAUAAGCGGAGGA
This 371-nucleotide unclassified non-coding RNA is filed under the name soil metagenome. Its description in RNAcentral is "partial contains 5.8S ribosomal RNA, internal transcribed spacer 2, and large subunit ribosomal RNA". The stretch from base 1 to 120 matches the Rfam family "5.8S ribosomal RNA", at positions 35 to 154 of the family's 154-position model. The record is from RNAcentral.